GAUGAACGCUGGCGGCGUGCCUAACACAUGCAAGUCGAGCGAACAGAUAAGGAGUUUGCUCCUUGGACGUUAGCGGCGGACGGGUGAUUAACACGUGGGUAACCUACCUAUAACACUGUGCUAACUUCGGGAAACCGGCGCCAAUACCGGAGAAUAUUUAGAACCUCAUGGUUCGAUGGAGCAUGUUGGUUUUACUAUCACUUCUAGAUUAACCCGUGCCCUAGUAUCUAGUUGGUCGGGUAACGGCUUACCAAGGCGCCGUUGCGUAGCCGACAUGAGAGGGUGAACGGCCAAACUGGAACUGAGACACGGUCCAGACUCCUACGGGAGGCAGCAGUAGGGAAUCUUACGCGAUGGGGGAGAGCGUGACGGAGCAAAGUCGCGUGAGUGAUGAAGGUCCGAGGAUCCGAAAACGCUGUUAUUAGGGAAGAAGAUACGUGUAAGUAAAUGUGAACGUCUUGACGGUACCUAAUCAGAAAGCCACGGCUAACUACGUG
This 497-nucleotide ribosomal RNA is filed under the name uncultured bacterium. Its description in RNAcentral is "partial 16S ribosomal RNA". It matches the Rfam family "Bacterial small subunit ribosomal RNA", at positions 28 to 507 of the family's 1533-position model. The record is from RNAcentral.